GACGAACGCUGGCGGCGUGCUUAACACAUGCAAGUCGAACGGUAAGGCCCUUCGGGGUACACGAGUGGCGAACGGGUGAGUAACACGUGGGUGAUCUGCCCUGCACUUCGGGAUAAGCCUGGGAAACUGGGUCUAAUACCGGAUAGGACCACUGCCUGCAUGGGUGGUGGUGGAAAGCUUUUGUGGCGUGGGAUGGGCCCGCGGCCUAUCAGCUUGUUGGUGGGGUGAUGGCCUACCAAGGCGACGACGGGUAGCCGGCCGGGGAGGGGGAACGGCCACACUGGGACUGAGAUACGGCCCAGACUCCUACGGGAGGCAGCAGUGGGGAAUAUUGCACAAUGGGCGCAAGCCUGAUGCAGCGACGCCGCGUGAGGGAUGAAGGCCUUCGGGUUGUAAACCUCUUUCAGCACCGACGAAGCGCAAGUGACGGUAGGUGCAGAAGAGGGACCGGCCAACUACGUGCCAGCCGCCGCCGUAA
This 478-nucleotide ribosomal RNA is filed under the name uncultured bacterium. Its description in RNAcentral is "partial 16S ribosomal RNA". It matches the Rfam family "Bacterial small subunit ribosomal RNA", at positions 28 to 523 of the family's 1533-position model. The record is from RNAcentral.